This 500-nucleotide ribosomal RNA is filed under the name uncultured bacterium. RNAcentral's name for it is "partial 16S ribosomal RNA". It matches the Rfam family "Bacterial small subunit ribosomal RNA", at positions 30 to 523 of the family's 1533-position model. The record is from RNAcentral.
AUUGAACGCUGGCGGGAUGCCUUACACAUGCAAGUCGAACGGCAGCACGGACUUCGGUCUGGUGGCGAGUGGCGAACGGGUGAGUAAUGUAUCGGAACGUGCCUAGUAGCGGGGGAUAACUACGCGAAAGCGUAGCUAAUACCGCAUACGCCCUACGGGGGAAAGGGGGGGAUCGCAAGACCUCUCACUAUUAGAGCGGCCGAUAUCGGAUUAGCUAGUUGGUGGGGUAAAGGCCUACCAAGGCGACGAUCCGUAGCUGGUUUGAGAGGACGACCAGCCACCCUGGGACUGAGACACGGCCCAGACUCCUACGGGAGGCAGCAGUGGGGAAUUUUGGACAAUGGGGGAAACCCUGAUCCAGCCAUCCCGCGUGUGCGAUGAAGGCCUUCGGGUUGUAAAGCACUUUUGGCAGGAAAGAAAUUGCGCAUAUUAAUACCAUGCGUAGAUGACGGUACCUGCAGAAUAAGCACCGGCUAACUACGUGCCAGCCGCCGCCGUAA